Molecule: small nuclear RNA, 187 nt
Filed under: Amphiprion ocellaris (clown anemonefish)
Lineage: Eukaryota; Metazoa; Chordata; Actinopteri; Pomacentridae
Description: U2 spliceosomal RNA
Rfam family: U2 spliceosomal RNA
About the family: U2 is a small nuclear RNA (snRNA) component of the spliceosome (involved in pre-mRNA splicing). Complementary binding between U2 snRNA (in an area lying towards the 5' end but 3' to hairpin I) and the branchpoint sequence (BPS) of the intron results the bulging out of an unpaired adenosine, on the BPS, which initiates a nucleophilic attack at the intronic 5' splice site, thus starting the first of two transesterification reactions that mediate splicing.
Source: Rfam by way of RNAcentral
AUCGCUUCUCGGCCUUUUGGCUAAGAUCAAGUGUAGUAUCUGUUCUUAUCAGUUUAAUAUCUGAUAUGUUCUCCAACGUGAGGACUAUAUAUUAAAUAUUUUAGCACCGGAGCUGAAAGAGGCUUGCUCCUUUCACUCCGCGCGUCGACCCUGGCACUGCAGUACGCCCAGGAGCAGUGCCCCUUCU